ACCGUCUGGCAGCCCUCCAAACCGCCAACCCUCCAUCCCUCUAACCCUCUGUCUUUCGUGAGGCCUCCGCCUGGCUCUGGCUGCCAUGACUGACUCCAAACCUCCAUGGAGCCACGUUAAAAAACAGUCUGGUCUGUCUCAGCCCAGUUUACAGGCUGAGAGGUAAACAACAGCAGCGACGACAACAACUCUCCUGCAAAGGAUAGCAGAAAUUCAAAACUAUUAGUUUCAGUUUGAAUAUACACAUUUGUUUUCUGGGUUGUUAUAGGCAACAGAACAUGUAAUAAUGCAAUUGACAAACUAUUAGUGCAAAUAAAUGUGCUUCAUCAUUUCCUUGUUUGGACAGGUGUGCAGGUCGAGCAGAGAGUUAGUGUGUUUUACUGUACUUCUCUCUGUCUCGAACCUACUCCUCCUAGCCCAAAUAACCCAGCUCAACUCUAGCAUGCAAUGUACACCCGCAGACCUGGGUUCAGUGACUAUUUGAAAUGAUUUCAGAUACGUUAUCUGUGCUUGAUUGAGCUUGCCUGGCUUAAUACGUAGGUAUUGGAAAGACUGAAUCGUUGAUGAACCCAGGUCUGCACCAGCCAGGUGUGAGUUUGAGCUGGCUUCUGAUAGAGUGCCAGGCAGUUUCACUCAGCGCCGCGACCAGGAAGGACGCCAGUACUGCGAAAACAAAGUAUGCAGAAGACAUUUCGGGCCGCUGUGUGGCUGAGACGAGAGAGAGUGUGGGGCUUGUGCCAGCCCGCCAGACACAUUCACAUCCCAAUGAGACUGUGAGAGGGUGGCGGCGGUGGGGGGGGGGGGAGAAUAGAGUGAACAGGAUAGAAAGUAGAGUUAGACAGUGAGGGUGUGAGAGAAAACCCCUUAAUAAACCCCCGAGGACAACAGAGCUACUCCCGGAGGUUGUGAAAUCGAGAACAGGAGUACACAAUGACUGGUCUAACUGAACUGCGUCGGUUCUGCUCUGCGCAGCGCCAAACACUACCGUGUUUGACAGCCAUCUGCACUUGGUUUCUAUAGCAGCAGUAUGUGCAGGACAGUAUCGACCCACUCUUUCUCUGACAAAGCAGUUCAUCACAUACUGUACUUCCUCUUCUUGAGCUUCGGCCAUUUUGAAGUCACCGAAGCACGUUGUAAGAGGCUUUCAGGGCUGACGAGACUUAUUGUUGUUAUUGUAUCAUGACAGUUAAAGUAAAGGACAAGGUGUGGCUAGUUUGUUAUUCUAUUUUUUAAUUUUUUAUUUUUAAGUGUGAGGUAUUAUCGCUUUUCCAAAUUGAGAUUGUGCUCCGCUGGCUCAUUCAGAAACGUGUCCUCAUGUUCUGUACACCUCAUGGCAUGCUAACUGCAUUUCAAAUGAGCAGUCACAAGGGGAGUUUCUAAAUAUUUGUUAUACUAAAGUUGUUAAAGUUCCCAUAGGCAUCAGUGUGGUUGGUGUAGAUACAGUCCUUACUGUGACGUGAGUCAGUGGGUGAUUUCAGACCUUGAUCAGCAUAGGGGGAAAAUCCACGCACGUCAACCGCUAAGCUACUUACCUCCCACAGACAGAGUCUGAAACAAUGGCAUCACUGAUUUGGAUUCCCAGAAAUUGUCAUCACACAAAAAAAUAUGAAAUAUCGACUUUCAGGCAAAGAGAGAAGGAGGCGAAACAGACACAAUAGAAAGAGGAAUUGUAGAGUAUAGUGCUCAGUUGUGGUGCCAAGUGCUGCGGGGGCAGAAGGGUAAAGAUGUGGUACCAGGCUGGCCCUGUGGUAAGCAUGACACUCUCUCUAGUGACGCUGCUGGGUAGAGGUGGCAGCAUGGCCCUGUGGUAAGCAUGACACUCUCUCUAGUGACGCUGCUGGGUAGAGGUGGCAGCAUGGCCCUGUGGUAAGCAUGACACUCUCUCUAGUGACGCUGCUGGGUAGAGGUGGCUGCAUGGCCCUGUGGUAAGCAUGACACUCUCUCUAGUGAAGCUGCUGGGUAGAGGUGGCUGCAUGGCCCUGUGGUAAGCAUGACACUCUCUCUAGUGACACUGCUGGGUAGAGGUGGCAGCAUGGCCCUGUGGUAAGCAUGACACUCUCUCUAGUGAAGCUGCUGGGUAGAGGUGGCUGCAUGGCCCUGUGGUAAGCAUGACACUCUCUCUAGUGACACUGCUGGGUAGAGGUGGCAGCAUGGCCCUGUGGUAAGCAUGACACUCUCUCUAGUGACGCUGCUGGGUAGAGGUGGCUGCAUGGCCCUGUGGUAAGCAUGACACUCUCUCUAGUGACACUGCUGGGUAGAGGUGGCAGCAUGGCCCUGUGGUAAGCAUGACACUCUCUCUAGUGACACUGCUGGGUAGAGGUGGCUGCAUGGCCCUGUGGUAAGCAUGACACUCUCUCUAGUGACACUGCUGGUUAGAGGUGGCUGCAUGGCCCUGUGGUAAGCAUGACACUCUCUCUAGUGACACUGCUGGGUAGAGGUGGCUGCAUGGCCCUGUGGUAAGCAUGACACUCUCUAGUGACACUGCUGGGUAGAGGUGGCUGCAUGGCCCUGUGGUAAGCAUGACACUCUCUCUAGUGACACUGCUGGGUAGAGGUGGCUGCAUGGCCCUGUGGUAGGCAUGAUACUCUCUCUAGUGACACUGCUGGGUAGAGGUGGCAGCAUGGCCCUGUGGUAAGCAUGACACUCUCUCUAGUGACGCUGCUGGGUAGAGGUGGCUGCAUGGCCCUGUGGUAAGCAUGACACUCUCUCUAGUGACACUGCUGGUUAGAGGUGGCAGCAUGGCCCUGUGGUAAGCAUGCCACUCUCUCUAGUGACACAGGGAUUUUCCCUGGUGGUGUAGUGACUCAUAUAUUUGACUAUGUUCCAACCUUCACACCGCAUCAGAAAGGCCCAUGCCAUACUCUUUCUUAUACAAUUCUCUGAUGUGCCAUACUCUUUCUUAUACAAUACUCUGAUGUGCCAUACUCUUUCUUAUACAAUACUCUGAUGUGCCAUACUCUUUCUUAUACAAUACUCUGAUGUGCCAUACUCUUUCUUAUACAAUACUCUGAUGUGCCAUACUCUUUCUUAUACAAUACUCUGAUGUGCCAUACUCUUUCUUAUACAAUAAUCUAAUGAUGAGCCAUACUCUUUCUUAUACAAUACUCUAAUGAUGAGCCAUACUCUUUCUUAUACAAUACUCUAAUGAUGAGCCAUACUCUUUCUUAUACAAUACUCUAAUGGUGAGCCAUACUCUUUCUUAUACAAAACUCUAAUGAUGAGCCAUUCUCUUUCUUAUACAAUACUCUAAUGAGGAGCCAUAGUCUUUCUUAUACAAUACUCUAAUGAGGAGCCAUAGUCUUUCUUAUACAAUACUCUAAUGAUGAGCCAUACUCUUUCUUAUACAAAACUCUAAUGAUGAGCCAUUCUCUUUCUUAUACAAUACUCUAAUGAGGAGCCAUAGUCUUUCUUAUACAAUACUCUAAUGAUGAGCCAUACUCUUUCUUAUACAAUACUCUAAUGAUGAGCCAUUCUCUUUCUUCUACAAUACUCUAAUGAUGAGCCAUUCUCUUUCUUCUACAAUACUCUAAUGAGGAGCCAUAGUCUUUCUUAUACAAUAGUCUAAUGAGGAGCCAUAGUCUAUCUUAAACAAUACUCUAAUGACAGAAGCAAGGAAACGGAAGGGGAAAAAGACCAUGUCAGGCAAAUGGUCGAAAGUAGAAAUAGGGAUCCAUAUCAUAGAAAUAGAAUCCAUAGAACGGGCUUGGAUUUUAUUCUAUGAUACACAUACAGCGGCUUCAUCUGUAGAUACACUAUAUAGACACACUAGGCACACUACAGACACACUAUUGACACACUAUAUAUACUGUACACUAUAUAUACAAAAGUAUGUGGACACCCCUUCAACUUAGUGGAUUCGGCUAUUUCAGCCACACCCGUUGCUGACAGGUGUAUAAAAUCGAGCACACAGCCAUGCAAUCUUAAUAGACAAACAUUGGCAUUAGAAUGGCCUUACUGAAGAGCUCAGUGACUUUCAAUGUCAGUUGACCUGCAGUGCUAGAGCCCCGGUCAACUGUAAAAGCUAUUAUUAACCUCUAUAAGCAACAACGGCUCAACCGGGGUAGUGGUUGGCCACACAAGCUCACACAAUGCGACCGCCGAGUGCUGAAGCGCGUAAAAAUCGUCUGCCCUCGGUUGCAGCACUCACUACUGCCUCUGGCAGCAACGUCAGCACAGUAACUGUUCGUCGGGAGCUUCAUGAAAUGGGUUUCCAUGGCCGAGCAGCCGCACACAAGCCUAAGACCACCAUGUGUAAUGCCAAGCGUCAGCUGGAGUGGUGUAAAGCUCGCCGCCAUUGGACCCAGGAGCAGUGGAAACGCAUUCUCUGGAGUGAUGAAUCACGCUUCACCAUCUGGCAGUCUGACGGACAAAUCUGGGUUUGGCAGGUGCCAGGAAAACGCUACCUGCCCCAAUGUAUAGUACCAACUGUAAGGUUUGGUGGAGGAGGAAUAAUGGUCUGCUGCUGUUUUUCAUGGUUAGGGCUAGUCCCCUUAGGUCCAGUGAAGGGAAAUAUUAAUGCUACAGCAUACAAUGACAUUCUAGACGAUUCUGUGCUUCCAACUCUGUGGCAACAGUUUGGGGAAGGCCCUUUCCUCUUUCAGCAUGACAAUGCCCCGUGCACAAAGUCCAUACAGAAAUUAUUUGUUGAGAUUGGUGUGGAAGAACUUGACUGGCCUGCACAGAGCCCUCAACCCCAUCAAACAUCUUUGGGAUGAAUUUGAACACCGACUGCGAGCCAGGACUCAUUGCCCAACAUUAGUGCCAACCUCACUAAUGCUCUUGUGGCUGAAUGGAAACAAGUCCCCGCAGAAAUGUUCCAACAUCUAGUGGAAGCCUUCCCAGAAGAGUGGAGGCUGUUAUUGCAGCAAAGGGGAGGACCAACUUCAUAUUAAUGCCCAUGAUUUUGGAAUGAGAUGUUUGACGAGCAGGUGUCCACAUACUUUUGCCAUGUAGUGUAUCAAUGUAUUGAGAAAUUCAACAGGUUGUUUAUAGCUAGCCAUAAAGUCAAUGGGGCUGAAACAACUGUGUGUGUGUGUGUGUGUGUGUGUGUGUGUGUGUGUG
Molecule: long non-coding RNA, 5061 nt
Organism: Oncorhynchus keta (chum salmon)
Lineage: Eukaryota; Metazoa; Chordata; Actinopteri; Salmoniformes; Salmonidae
Exons: 3
Source: RefSeq, a predicted model, not a curated record